Molecule: transfer RNA, 85 nt
Filed under: Hymenobacter setariae
Lineage: Bacteria; Pseudomonadati; Bacteroidota; Cytophagia; Cytophagales; Hymenobacteraceae
Description: Hymenobacter sp. Fur1 tRNA-Leu
Rfam family: tRNA
About the family: Transfer RNA (tRNA) molecules are approximately 80 nucleotides in length. Their secondary structure includes four short double-helical elements and three loops (D, anti-codon, and T loops).
Source: RNAcentral
GCCUGGAUGGCGGAACCGGUAGACGCGAUGGUCUCAAACACCAUUACCGCAAGGUGUGCCGGUUCGACUCCGGCUCCAGGUACUA